AUGUCCUUUCGAAAGCCACCUCCUCCCACAAACUCCCCUGAUCCCCCUAAAUCAGCCUUAUCAACCGGCUGCUCUCACAUAACUCUGUUCUAUCUUCCUCAGAGCAUCGGGACCCUCAUCACGUUAUUCGUUCAUUCAUUUACUCUCUCUGUCCUCUAUGACCCUUUGUUCACAGGCGUUACUCUAAAAUGUACCCAGGACUCUGGUUUCACUCAGCGAAGGGGAGGUCAACAGGUCAGCAGGCCACCACAGCUGAAGAUUUUAUUCGGUUUGUUUGUUUUGUUUUUGGCAAGACCGGGCUUUUAUCCGCUGCAUGCAUGCACAAGAUCUUGCUGCCUUUCAAUCAAGCAUAUAAAUUAGCCACAAGCCUUUGGAUGAAGAUACAAAGAAAUAAUGGCAUCACAGUAUAAUCUCAGCACAAAAGAUGCAGAGGCUGAUUGUGCUUUCAUGUGUCUAAUCCCCAUCUCCCCCACAAGUUCUUAAGUGGUAUUAAGGAAAGAACUGUGACUUCCAUUCUCUGGACUCCCAAUGAGCCCUAUUCAGUCCUCCGCCAUGGCAUUUACUGUGUUUAAUAUGAUUGACAUAUUUGCAUAUCUGUCUCUCCACUACCCUCUGAGGUUCUUCAGAAAUCUAAGUCACCCGGUUAUUCAGUAAAUGAUAGAUAUUCCAUAAAUGGUGUCGCAAGGUAAGGAGCACACUUUUUUUUAAGUGUAAUAAAAGUCUUAGAUGAAGCA
RNAcentral lists this long non-coding RNA (734 nucleotides) under Vulpes vulpes (red fox). Its description in RNAcentral is "lncRNA (ENSVVUG00000009066.1)". Lineage: Eukaryota; Metazoa; Chordata; Mammalia; Carnivora; Canidae. The record is from RNAcentral.